GCUGACCAAAGAGGCCAGGGUGAUCAAAGAUAACCCAGCUCUUCAGGACAAGUCGGCACCAAAGAAGGAGGAGCUCGUCAGGCAAAACGCUCUUGCUGUGGUCCGUCAGAGAAUAGGGGAUACCUCUGACAAAACAAGUACAAGGCAAAAUCUUUCCGAUGGCUUCUUGAAAAUGACACAGGUUACACCAUCUACCUACUAAAGAACCUUCAGCAGGAAGAGGCCAUGGGGGUCUUUACGGCAGAAGGACCCAGCGAGAGCAGUCUGUUAUCCUUUUCUAAUUAUGCCCGCAGUUUUAACGAAAUUCAGUCUCUUCCCAGUUAUUUGUCCCUAAAUCCAAGUGCACCAGCAGCCUCGUCGGAGGGUGACCAGCUGGUUGGUUUCGGUGCUCAUGUAUGUGGAAAGAUUUGGAACAACAGGGCUGAUGGUUAUGCAUCCUUUAUAUUGGGGGCAACUUAUGUCCCAGAAACACGGAUGUACAAGCUGCAGCAAUACCUGUGAAAUCAGAUGCAGACUGCCCAUGGUUGCCUCAAGUACAGCGUCUAAGCCAACAGAAAUGGAUGAUGACGGGUUAUGGAGUGCGCUGCUGAACUUCUCCCCCUCCAAGCUACUGUACAAGGUAUUUUAGAACAUACAAAGUGGCAAAUAUAUACUGGACGUGGCAAAUUGGUAAGAGUCACACAUUUAGAUUUACCAUCUGAAAUUAUUUGACCAACUUUUCCAAGGACAUGGCUACAUGGGAUGCUGCUGGGAGGCCGGUGCCACUCUAAUCCUUACAACCCCAAGUCUGAUCUUAACUCUGAAAGCUCUGUUACUUUACUACUACAUAUUUAAUGGAUUAUAUGUAUCUCAUCCAUGUUGUGUGACAGCAGAGUGUCAGCAAGAAUCAAAGGAAAGGUGUACAAGACUGUACUGAGACCAGCUUUGUUGUAUGGGUUAGAGACUGUAGCAGUGAGGAAAAGACACAAGGUAGAGAUGACAGUAGCAGACAUGAGGAUGUUGAGGUUCUCUUUAGGAGUGACGAGGAUGGACAGUAUUAGGAACGAGCACAUCAGAGGGACAGCUCAGGUUGGCUGUUUUGGGGACAACAUCAGAGACGCUAGAUU
This is a long non-coding RNA of Tachysurus fulvidraco (yellow catfish), 1106 nucleotides long. RefSeq lists it as uncharacterized. NCBI's taxonomy places the organism in Eukaryota, Metazoa, Chordata, Actinopteri, Siluriformes, Bagridae. The record is from RefSeq and is a predicted model, not a curated record. The transcript has 3 exons.